Molecule: ribosomal RNA, 993 nt
Filed under: Triticum aestivum (bread wheat)
Lineage: Eukaryota; Viridiplantae; Streptophyta; Magnoliopsida; Poales; Poaceae
Description: partial small subunit ribosomal RNA
Source: RNAcentral
AUGGCGAAAUUCUUUUGGAGCAGCUCCAUCGACAAAAAUGUGUUACAUUGGGUGUCCUGGAAGAAUUUGGCUACACCAAAGUGCCAAGGUGGUAUGGGGUUUCGUGACCCCCAUCAGUUUAAUAUUGCGCUACUCGGGAAGCAUGGGUGGCGGUUUAUGACGAACCCUAAUUCCCUGUGCGCAAGGGUAAUGAAAGGCCGCUAUUUUCCUGACACAGAUUUCUUGCAUGCUACUGUUCCCAAAUCAGCGUCUGCUACUUGGCGGGGCAUUUGGUCUAGAAUUCAAACGUUCAAGAAGGGUUACAUUUGGAGAGUAGGCAACAGAGAAAAGAUUAAUAUAUGGGAUGACUAUUGGAUCCCGAACCGUGCAUCCAAAAAAGUUUUAACAUUAAGGGGGAACCAAGUACUUACUAAAGUAAAUGAGUUAAUUGACCCAAUCACGGGAAAAUGGGAUGAGAUGUUAAUUCGGGAGAAUUUCGGGCACAUUGAUGCUGAACGCAUACUACAAAUUCCAUUAUUCCAUGUGGAGACCGAGGACUAUGUUGCAUGGCAUCUCACGAGGAGCGACGUUUUUUCAGUACAUUCUUCCUAUUAUAAGAAAUGGGAAGUGAAUUAUGAUACAGAUGACAACGGUCUGGCCCGCUUCUCCAUGGCGUCCCAUCCAGUUUGGAAGAAGUUGUGGAGUUUGAGAGUGCCAGCCAAAGUUAAAAUUUAUAUCUGGAGAUGCUUGCACAAUACCAUCCCAUGCCAGAGUACUCUUAUGCAUCGCUAUGUUGGAAACUUGUCCCAAUGCCUAUACUGAACAGAUGGUGCGGAGGACUUAGCACAUAUGAUGUUUAAGUGUGCAAGGGCGCAAGUAGUUUGGGAAGCUUUGGGAAUUGCAACAGAUAUUAACUUUGAUUCUUUGACUGAUCGAGUAGGUUCAACAGUCUUGGAGUUCAUUUUAUGUGAUGAUUCUUAUCGACAACAAUAUUCUGGAUGGUCCAGCUACUAG